CGGGGCGUGGCUCAGCUUGGUAGAGUGCUCGGUUUGGGACCGAGAGGUCGCAGGUUCGAAUCCUGCCGCCCCGACCA
This 77-nucleotide transfer RNA is filed under the name Pyrinomonadaceae bacterium. Its description in RNAcentral is "tRNA-Pro". It matches the Rfam family "tRNA". Rfam says of the family: Transfer RNA (tRNA) molecules are approximately 80 nucleotides in length. Their secondary structure includes four short double-helical elements and three loops (D, anti-codon, and T loops). Lineage: Bacteria; Pseudomonadati; Acidobacteriota; Blastocatellia; Blastocatellales; Pyrinomonadaceae. The record is from RNAcentral.